UCUCAAACACACAAGUGAGUGAGUCUCAAAUUUAUAGCAGGACCAAGUCACUCCUCAUUUCUCUUCAGUGGAUGUAUAAAAGAAACCCCCUUCCUCUCUAUUAACAAACAAGAGAACAGUAGCAAAAACAGAGAAAAAACCAAGACAGACACACAAGAGAAAAGGAGAAAAAAAAUCAAAUCUUGUUAUGGUUUUCAGUUCAAGAAAUUCUAGAAUGAAAGGGAAAGAUCAUGUUCCUCUACAAUAAUAAUGCUUUGUUUGUUGUAGCGAACAAGGGUUUUGAUUCAAGAACACAGCAGGAAAUGAGCUCUCUUUCAAGUGAUUGGAGUUGUGGAUUGGACAGUUUGUUCUUGUCGCAAAUUGAGAUUGCAUAUAGUGGUAUUGUUGAGCAUUGCUUGAUUUUGGGCAUGGAUGAAGAUUGCACGUUUAGGAUUGUUUAGCAGUGAACAAGAAUUGUUUCUUCUGCUGUAUUGGAAGGUAAAGGUUCCUGGGUUUAGCUGUUUUGUGCUUGAUCUUGAACUUGGGAAUGAUUUGUGUGUUACGGUUUGGCUUUAAGGGAAAGGAGGUGAUGGUUCUUUGUUGGAACAGAAAGCAACACAAAAGAUCAGAUUGUAGUGGACAAUUUUUAUUUCUCAAGGAACCUUUUGGUUUGACAUAAUUUGAGUAAAGUUCUUUAUCAAGAAGGAAAACUUCUCAAAGUUAUUGCAACAAGUUUUUGUUGGACUAUUGCAGUAUAGUGUACUAUAAUAGCAGAUUCGAUCGAGUGGAUUAGUUUUGAGUUUUAUUAUUGAAGUUAACAUUUUUUGAAUGAUAAAGUACUGUAUUGAAAUUAAUUUCCAGUGAAUUCUGUCUCACCGGAGUGUGCAUUACGGUGAAAGGGAUUGGUGGGUUUGGAACCUGUGGCUAUUGGAUGUGAUAUAUAAGUUCACGGAGAAGUGCUGAAGCUGGAAAUGAAUGUGGGGACAUGUUGCAUGGACAGGAGCAUGGUUACCGGUCCAUUUCCUUUACAGAACAGUGCUACUGGAAAGUAAUUCAAUCAUUUUCUUCCUUGAAAGGCGUUGUUGUUUUGUGUUUUGGGAUUCUGUUCAAUGUCGCGUUGCUUUCCAUUUCCACCACCAGGAUAUGAAAAGAAGAUCAGGAGUGAUGAUGUUGACCUACUAAAAAAGGUGUGUGCAGAUGGGCAGUGCUUAACUGUGUCUUAAAUAGAGAGUUCAGAUAGUGCUCACACUAUUUUGCUAUUGGUCUUCAAGUUUGUGGGUAAAUCCUUGGUAAAAGUCCUGUUUCUCUGAAUCUUAUAUGAAUGGGAACCGGUUAAUGAUAAUUCUUACAAGCUGAAACAUGUAAUAAAUAUGAGAUAAGAACACACUUUCUGGUGUUGGCUCCAAUUAUAAUGUUUCAUUAGUGUCUGCUUUUUUGUUUGCAUCUGUUAACCCUGGAAAGUGCAAUGAAGUAACUGCCUUAAAUAAAGGAUUCAAGGGAUGGUUGUUAACUAUUCUGUGCUUGGUGUUUGAGUUCAUGAGUAAAUAAUUGGUUUUUAAAUUCCUGUUUUAAUGAAUUCCAUGUGAAAGGGUUGAAUUAAUUGUGUUUAUCUAUAUUUCUACUUGAAAUUAGGAGAGAUGAAGUUUGUUGGACUACAAGUGAAUUUGUGUCAAUUUUUCUGUCCUCUUUUACUGACAAGUGUAAGGAAAAUUUUAUGGUGUUCAAGGAGUAGCUGGUGGCAUCUCGUCUAGGCCAACUUUAAAGAAAGAGAUAGACAUACGGAGGAGAUAGAAAAUAAGCAUAUCUCCACCUAGGCUUUCUCUCUCCUCUUUGUGUCCUCUUUGAAAGUGGGUCCAGAAGAGUUACUAAUAAGAUGCCACUAUUUACUCCCUGAGCACCAUAAAAUUACUCCAAGUGUAAGGCUUAACAAAAGAGAUAGGCUUGCAAAUUUGAAAGGAAAACAACUAUGCAUUUGCUGUUUUAUAUUUUUUUUGGCAUUCCAUCACUUAUGUUUAGGAGAUGAACAGGCUGCUGAGUGCAUCAGGAACUCCAAAUUAAGCAGCUUCUAUUUAUAUUUAUCACAAGUCACUGUUGCUGAGUUGAAAGAUCACAUGUGGAGAUCUGUCUCUUGCAGGCUUGCAGCAACGUAGCUUCUCAGAUUUGUUUAUGCUAGGGAAAUUAUUUUGAUGUAUGAAUGGGCUGAAUUCAGCUUGUUUUUCUUGUAGAUUUUCCCAGGGGAUAGAUGCUGCAAGUCCUUUUUAUAUUUCCUUAACAGUUUUAUUCUGCUCCAUAAAUGGAGUAGCUUAUUUUCCUAUUUUAAAUUGCUUCUUUUUAUAUUUCUUGCUCAUAUUUGGUUCUGGCAGCCAUUUUAUCACAUCAAGUUCUAUGAUCUUCCUAUUUUAGUUUUGAUAUCUGGGGUGCAUAGAGAUUUUUGUAUUUUGAGAAUACCAGUUUUGAAACAUAAGGUUACAAAUAUUGGGGCUAGAUUGCAGAUAAGUGUACUUUGCUCAAAUAUCAGGGAUCAUGUCCAUUGUACUACUAUGACAUCACUCAUGUUCUCCAUGAGCUUCUAUGUUUGGGGUUGUAAUGGUAUAACUUUGUCCGAUGGUUUCAGACUUUUGAGUAUAUGGAAAGAAAUGGAAAGACGCUGCUGUAACUCUAUAUUCAAACUGCUUUCUGGGUGUAGUGGAAAGGACAGAAAUAUCUUUGCCUGGGAGAGUAGGUUUCUAUUUGAGUUGGAUAGGAUGGUUAGAGUUUUUAACUUGUAUCCGUAAAGUUCUCCUUCCUCGCUGCAACAGUGUAGAGGUCUAGGCAGAAGGAAAUGUUUUCUGGAUUAUUUUUGGUAUUUCUGUCCAUAGGGCUCUGGUUAGCUCAUGGGAGUUUCUCAUUUCUUUCUGAUCUCUUUUCUUUUAUGCUUUUUACCAUUUGGAAGUUGGCUGAUAAUUGGUACGUGCCAUA
Molecule: RNA transcript, 2937 nt
Organism: Populus trichocarpa (black cottonwood)
Lineage: Eukaryota; Viridiplantae; Streptophyta; Magnoliopsida; Malpighiales; Salicaceae
Exons: 3
Source: RefSeq, a predicted model, not a curated record